AAACUAUGAAAGAAAGCUAGUGAUGUGUACGGUAUAGGGUUUCUGAAAGGUAAAGUACCUCAAAUUCUUGGCACAAGGCUGGCACCCAAAGAAAACAUAAAAUAAACAUAAAAUAUACCCUUCACCAGCUUGUUUCUCUCAGAAAAGCCUCUUCCAUGGGAUCAUCUCCCCACCAAUAACAUAGCUCAGCAUCCAAGAUAUCCGGAGGCCUUAUUUUCUCCUUACCACGGGUGCUGGGCCCCUCAGGAGAAGAGUGUUCAAAAGAGAA
Pipistrellus kuhlii (Kuhl's pipistrelle) is the source of this 268-nucleotide long non-coding RNA. RefSeq lists it as uncharacterized. The record is from RefSeq and is a predicted model, not a curated record. Lineage: Eukaryota; Metazoa; Chordata; Mammalia; Chiroptera; Vespertilionidae. The transcript has 2 exons.